RNAcentral lists this non-coding RNA (115 nucleotides) under Pan troglodytes (chimpanzee). Lineage: Eukaryota; Metazoa; Chordata; Mammalia; Primates; Hominidae. The record is from Rfam by way of RNAcentral.
GCCGGGCAUGAUGGCUCAUACCUGUAAUCCCAGCAUUUGGGAGGCCGAGGCGGGCGGAUCACCUGAGGUCAGGAGUUCCUUACAGCCUGGCCAACGUGGUGAAACCCCGUCUCUA